AUUGAACGCUGGCGGCAGGCCUAACACAUGCAAGUCGAGCGGAUGAAGGGAGCUUGCUCCUGGAUUCAGCGGCGGACGGGUGAGUAAUGCCUAGGAAUCUGCCUGGUAGUGGGGGAUAACGUCCGGAAACGGGCGCUAAUACCGCAUACGUCCUGAGGGAGAAAGUGGGGGAUCUUCGGACCUCAUGCUAUCAGAUGAGCCUAGGUCGGAUUAGCUAGUUGGUGGGGUAAAGGCCUACCAAGGCGACGAUCCGUAACUGGUCUGAGAGGAUGAUCAGUCACACUGGAACUGAGACACGGUCCAGACUCCUACGGGAGGCAGCAGUGGGGAAUAUUGGACAAUGGGCGAAAGCCUGAUCCAGCCAUGCCGCGUGUGUGAAGAAGGUCUUCGGAUUGUAAAGCACUUUAAGUUGGGAGGAAGGGCAGUAAGUUAAUACCUUGCUGUUUCGACGUUACCAACAGAAUAAGCACCGGCUAACUUCGUG
Molecule: ribosomal RNA, 484 nt
Filed under: uncultured bacterium
Lineage: Bacteria
Description: partial 16S ribosomal RNA
Rfam family: Bacterial small subunit ribosomal RNA
Source: RNAcentral